CGGGUAGAGUAACACGUAAACAACCUGCCUUCAGGAUGGGGACAACAGACGGAAACGACUGCUAAUACCGAAUAAGUUCCAAGAGCCGCAUGGCCCAUGGAAGAAAAGGUGGCCUCUACCUGUAAGCUAUCGCCUGAAGAGGGGUUUGCGUCUGAUUAGCUGGUUGGAGGGGUAACGGCCCACCAAGGCGACGAUCAGUAGCCGGUCUGAGAGGGUGAACGGUCACAUUGGGACUGAGACACGGCCCAGACUCCUACGGGAGGCAGCAUG
RNAcentral lists this ribosomal RNA (270 nucleotides) under uncultured bacterium. RNAcentral describes it as "partial 16S ribosomal RNA". It matches the Rfam family "Bacterial small subunit ribosomal RNA", at positions 100 to 353 of the family's 1533-position model. The record is from RNAcentral.